Molecule: ribosomal RNA, 564 nt
Filed under: Kryptoperidinium foliaceum
Lineage: Eukaryota; Dinophyceae; Peridiniales; Kryptoperidiniaceae
Description: partial Bacterial large subunit ribosomal RNA
Rfam family: Bacterial large subunit ribosomal RNA
Source: RNAcentral
AUGCUGACAUGAGUAGCGAUAAAGAGGGUGAGAGACCCUCUCGCCGAAAGACCAAGGGUUCCUGCGUAAAGCUAAUCUGCGCAGGGUUAGUCGGCCCCUAAGGCGAGGCCGAAAGGCGUAGUCGAUGGGAACCACGUUAAUAAUCGUGGGCCUGGUGGUAGUGACGGAUCUCGUGUGUUGUAUCUCCUUAUUGGAUUGGAGGUGCAGCGAAGAGGUUCCAGGAAAUAGCUCCACCGUAUAAACCGUACCCGAAACCGACACAGGUGGUCAGGUAGAGAAUACCAAGGCGCUUGAGAGAACUCGGGUAAAGGAACUAGGCAAAAUGGCACCGUAACUUCGGGAGAAGGUGUGCCCUUGUUAGGUGAAGCGACUUGCUCGUGGAGCUGAAGAGGGUUGCAGUGAACUGGUGGCUGCGACUGUUUAUUAAAAACACAGCACUCUGCAAAGACGAAAGUCGACGUAUAGGGUGUGACUCCUGCCCGGUGCUGGAAGAUUAAAUGAUGGGGUGCAAGCUCUUGACUGAAGUCCCAGUAAACGGCGGCCGUAACUAUAACGGUCCUAAGG